RNAcentral lists this ribosomal RNA (253 nucleotides) under uncultured bacterium. RNAcentral describes it as "partial 16S ribosomal RNA". It matches the Rfam family "Bacterial small subunit ribosomal RNA", at positions 524 to 776 of the family's 1533-position model. The record is from RNAcentral.
UACGGAGGGUGCAAGCAUUAAUCGGAUUUAUUGGGCGUAAAGGGCGCGUAGGCGGGAGGGCAAGUCAGAUGUGAAAUUCCGAGGCUCAACCUCGGAGCUGCAUUUGAAACUAUCCACCUAGAGGAAUGGCGGAGAAAACGGAAUUCCACGUGUAGCGGUGAAAUGCGUAGAUAUGUGGAGGAACACCUGUGGCGAAAGCGGUUUUCUAGCUUAUACCUGACGCUGAGGCGCGAGAGCAAGGGGAGCAAACAGG